Molecule: ribosomal RNA, 314 nt
Filed under: Myandra bicincta
Lineage: Eukaryota; Metazoa; Arthropoda; Arachnida; Araneae; Prodidomidae
Description: partial 12S ribosomal RNA
Source: RNAcentral
AGGAAAUAACAAUAAGAUAAACCUACUUAUUUUGGCGGCAUUUCAUCUAUUUAGAGGAACUUGUUUAUUAAUCGAUAAUCCGCGUUAAAUUUCACUUAAAUUAAAAAUUUAUAUACCGCCAUCUAAAGAGUUAAUUUCAAUAUAAUACUCAAAAUAAAAAAUAAAAAGUUAGGUCAAGGUGUAAUCUAUACUUAAGUAAAAAUGAGUUACUAUAAAUAACAUUUAAGGACUAUAUAAUUAUAAUCAUAUACAAAAAAGGAUUUAAUAAGUAAUUCAUAAAUAAUAUUUUAAAUUGAAAUAGAUCAUAAAUGCGC